Long non-coding RNA from Felis catus (domestic cat), 1803 nucleotides. RefSeq lists it as uncharacterized. The transcript has 2 exons. NCBI's taxonomy places the organism in Eukaryota, Metazoa, Chordata, Mammalia, Carnivora, Felidae. The record is from RefSeq and is a predicted model, not a curated record.
ACACACACGGGUCAGCACUGGAUUCUAUUCAGGGUGCUGAGUCAUCCCUGGACCGGCUCCCCCUUCUCCAGGAAGCCCAACAAAGCAGGACAAGGCUUCCGUUUCCGGCCGCCUUGCCGAAGCGGCCAGCAGGUGUCCGGGAGGGGGAAAGGAUCAGAGUUCCAGCUCUGUGUCAACCUCUGGAACUGCCCUCCCGCACAGGUCGGACGGCGGCCCCCAGCCUGCCGCCGUGGGGGAGAUCCAGUGAGGAAGUGUUAGCCGCAGGGCUGGGAAACCCAAGCCCCCUCCGGCUCGCCCCCAGGAACCCUCUGGGAAAGCCAGCUGGCCAUCCGUCACCGCGAGGAUGUUUCCCAGAGAGCCCCCCUUAGGAGCCCAAGGACAGGCGCCCCCCCUUCAGCCUCCUUUUUCCUCUUCAGGCCCUACCUCCAAAGACCCAGCUUGUCUCCCUCAACUCACAAAUCCACCUAACGCCUGACAUCCGAACAGCGCACGGACUAGGCAAUCACGGGCAAUCCAAGUUUUCCCGACUUGCAGGGAAGGACGAAUCGCCCAUGUGGGCGAAGGCGGUUAAGAGCCGGCACAAGCAGAAGUGUGAACACCUGGCAGCGUGUGCAUGUGCGCGACUGCGCCAGGGCGAGGGCCGGGACCCGCGGCAGGAGUUACCCCGUCCGGAAGGCACACGACCACGAGGCCCAGUAAGGCCCAGUCCUGUACACGCACACUCGCGGCCGCUCAUUCUCUCCGGUUCUGAGUGACCUCACCAUCUCAACCUCCGAUGACUCACAGCCCCCGGGGCCAGCGCGGCACGGCCGGAAGUCACCCUCCGCCCGGCAGCCCGCUACCGGCUUCCCGGCCCGACGGCUCCGAACCAGAGGUCGCGGCGCCCCCUGGCGGUCCCCCGGGACUCUUGCGACUCCCGGCGCCGGGCCCGGCGCACGCACGCGCACACGGCACCCUCAGGCCGACGUGCCUGAGUCCACAGCGCCCUCUGCCGGGCACGGUCUGGGAGACCUACCAGGUCACUCCUUGAGCCCAAGGCCACCGCAGGGCUGGGGACCCCUCCUCUGCUUCUCCCUUCCCUCCUCUCUUCUUCCUCUGCUGGAAGCAAGCCCUCCUGCAGUCUAACCCCCAAACCUGCACUCCCUCGAGUGAAGAACCCCCCCCCCACCGUGGGAGCCUCAGAACUGGGACACCAAGGCAGCCGGGUCUCUGCUUUCUCCAUGGCCCUCGGUCUCUCUCCCUCCCCAGACUGAGCUCGUCUAGGGCGGCCGGACCCGCACUCUGAGCACUCCAGCUCCUUCCAGACACGCUCCCACUCCCCCGAUCCCCGUGAGCUCCCAGCUAUUCUGUGCCAGGCACUGUUCUAUCCACUGGCAUCUUGGGGACCGCUCUGACCUCCGGAAGUUAAUAAACACAGAAGGGCUGUUUAUCCUGGGAGGCCCAGCCCCACCCCACUUUCCUUUUUCUCUCUCUCACACAGAAACAUCAACCUUGCUUGUGCUGAAAUGCAGCUUUAUUUCCUGCUGGUUUGGCAGGUACCCCAUCCUGCAAGCCCAGUCCCCUGGGAAGCCCGACGGUGGGCAACGUGCCCCCCCCCCCCAGGGGAUGGCAAGGAGAGGGCAGCUGAGGCACUUAGGGGCCUUCCCCGAGGCCCUGAGGGGAGAACCUGAGCCAAGGCAGGGGGGAGAGGGUCUAGUCUAGGCUGGAGCCGCCCAGGUGCUUCCCACAAACCCCUUGAGGCACUGCCGCCUGGAGGGCAGCUGCACCCUCCCGAGUGGUCAACCGGUGAUGGGGAGAGGGCAG